This 76-nucleotide transfer RNA is filed under the name bacterium. RNAcentral describes it as "tRNA-Ala". It matches the Rfam family "tRNA". Rfam says of the family: Transfer RNA (tRNA) molecules are approximately 80 nucleotides in length. Their secondary structure includes four short double-helical elements and three loops (D, anti-codon, and T loops). The record is from RNAcentral.
GGGGGCGUAGCUCAGUUGGGAGAGCGCAUCCUUCGCACGGAUGAGGUCACCGGUUCGAAUCCGGCCGCCUCCACCA